UCUUUAGUGGUGUUAAACAUAUUAUAAUUUCAUUAUAAAGUAGAAUAAAAUCUUAAAGUA
RNAcentral lists this transfer RNA (60 nucleotides) under Proasellus racovitzai. RNAcentral's name for it is "transfert RNA-E(GAA)". The record is from RNAcentral. Lineage: Eukaryota; Metazoa; Arthropoda; Malacostraca; Isopoda; Asellidae.